CCUACGGGGGGCUGCAGUAGGGAAUAUUGCACAAUGGAGGAAACUCUGAUGCAGCGACGCCGCGUGAGUGAUGAAGGCCUUCGGGUUGUAAAGCUCUGUUCACAGGGAAAAAGAAAGUGAUUGUACCUGUGAAGAAAGGACCGGCUAACUUCGUGCCAGCAGCCGCGGUAAGACGAGGGGUCCAAGCGUUGCUCGGAAUUAUUGGGCGUAAAGCGGACGUAGGUGGCUCUGCAAGUCAGGAGUGAAAGCCCUGGGCUUAACCCAGGAAGUGCUUUUGAUACUGCGGAGCUUGAGUGUGGGAGAGGAUAGUGGAAUUCCUGGUGUAGUGGUGAAAUACGUAGAUAUCAGGAGGAACACCGGUGGCGAAGGCGGCUAUCUGGCCCAACACUGACACUGAGGUCCGAAAGCGUGGGGAUCAAACAGGAUUAGAUACCCCAGUAGUC
RNAcentral lists this ribosomal RNA (443 nucleotides) under uncultured bacterium. Its description in RNAcentral is "partial 16S ribosomal RNA". It matches the Rfam family "Bacterial small subunit ribosomal RNA", at positions 338 to 795 of the family's 1533-position model. The record is from RNAcentral.